Notolabrus celidotus (New Zealand spotty) is the source of this 1342-nucleotide long non-coding RNA. RefSeq lists it as uncharacterized. The transcript has 5 exons. Lineage: Eukaryota; Metazoa; Chordata; Actinopteri; Labriformes; Labridae. The record is from RefSeq and is a predicted model, not a curated record.
UAGGAGCCACUGAGUGAUUAUAAGCAUUCUGUUGUUCUUGUCAGGACAUUGUUUCUGUAAUAGUUUUUUGUUAUCAAUUAUCACUUCCAGCACUUCAUUUAGCCUUCAUUGGGUUGUGAAACUUCGUAAGGAAAACUAGACAGGAACAGAGAGAAUUCAAAUGAACGGAGAAAGUGGCGAUGACCCCCGGCAUUCCUGGCUUUGAGCUGUUGUGAGUUCCUUCUGUGGUUCCACUCUCCCCUCUGCCCAGAGAGAGGGAGUAUAAGAGAUGAUUCCUGUGAUUUCAUUCAUCAUUUGGAGGAUUUAUGACCUCCAGUAACCUUCACAAGUCAGCUGGCCCAUGUGUCUGCCCCGUGCAGCUCCCCGCCUCCCUCCCCCUGCAGCAGCAAGAGCACCUCUUCUCAGGGAUAUCACACCACCGGGCAAGGAAAGGUCACAUCAUACCAACCCCGAUGCCUGAGGGACUCUGGGGGACUGCCGGGUGCUGUUAGUGGGAACACGGCCUCAGUUAUGAAAGACGCCAUUGUCCAGCCUGGCUCGCCAACAUAGAAAAUGAAUAAAUCAAAGAGGAGAGAUCAAGAGUGGAGGAGAGGAGGGGAUGGAGGGACCGGGAGACUAUCUGACAUCUGCAUUUGUAACUGGGUAUUUAGCUCUGGAGGAAUGUUGUUAUCAUCCACCCUCAAGUGCUGCAAUGGGGAAGAAUUUUGCAUUGAAUUAUAGCAUGGUCUGAUCACAUCUACACCUCCUGUCUGCCUCUGCAAAUAUACUCUCUGCAAACGUCAAGUUUGUAUCAGAGACACUUUUGUUUUUGUCAUGCAGUGUAAGAGGUCACAAAAUAUGUAAUGCAAAUCUGUUAACCUGUUAACAGUUUUAACCAAUCAUGUGCAUCCAUCUGGAUUGUUAAACCAGAUAUUUUGGAUGGACACAUCUCUAUUUUUGUUGAUUACGUUCAGAGACUACCUUUAGAUUUCUUCCUUCAAACAGCACUUGUCAUUGAUGUUUCAUUAUGUGGUUAAGCUGGGGCAUACAGUGAAUCUUGUUUACAUAUUAGUGCUCCGACCACAAAUAGAAAGACAAGACAUGCAUUCAUUCUUUGGAAAUCCUGCAGUUAUAGUCUUCAGCAAUCUACUGCCAUAAGUGAAUACUAAAAUGGGACUUUCCUGUCAAAUGAUCCAAGUGUUGAUAUGGCAGCACUGACGGUUUUAAGAAUAAAGGUGUCAACAUAAACACAAACCUGACCCUAAGAAGUUGGUAUUACUCAUUAGCAAUUUAUUCAAGUGACAUAAGGGAAUUCUGACACUAAUACUUUACAUGUAAUUGUAAAAUGUUCAAUGACAAGGUA